CUUCGACCCUGCACCCAAUCA
Molecule: microRNA, 21 nt
Filed under: Brachypodium distachyon (stiff brome)
Lineage: Eukaryota; Viridiplantae; Streptophyta; Magnoliopsida; Poales; Poaceae
Description: bdi-miR397b-3p
Gene: bdi-miR397b-3p
Source: miRBase by way of RNAcentral